RNAcentral lists this ribosomal RNA (760 nucleotides) under uncultured beta proteobacterium. RNAcentral describes it as "bacterial SSU rRNA". It matches the Rfam family "Bacterial small subunit ribosomal RNA", at positions 87 to 844 of the family's 1533-position model. The record is from RNAcentral. Lineage: Bacteria; Pseudomonadati; Pseudomonadota; Betaproteobacteria.
GCCGACGAGUGGCGAACGGGUGAGUAAGAUAUCGGAACGUGCCCAGUCGUGGGGGAUAACGUAGAGAAAUUUACGCUAAUACCGCAUACGAUCUAAGGAUGAAAGCGGGGGAUCGCAAGACCUCGCGCGAUAGGAGCGGCUGAUAUCAGAUUAGGUUGUUGGUGAGGUAAAAGCUCACCAAGCCGACGAUCUGUAGCUGGUUUGAGAGAACGACCAGCCACACUGGGACUGAGACACGGCCCUGACUCCUACGGGAGGCAGCAGUGGGGAAUUUUGGACAAUGGGCGAAAGCCUGAUCCAGCAAUGCCGCGUGCGGGAAGAAGGCCUUCGGGUUGUAAACUGCUUUUGUACGGAACGAAAAGGUCUGCCCUAAUACGGUGGGCUCAUGACGGUACCGUAAGAAUAAGCACCGGCUAACUACGUGCCAGCAGCCGCGGUAAUACGUAGGGUGCGAGCGUUAAUCGGAAUUACUGGGCGUAAAGCGUGCGCAGGCGGUUAUAUAAGACAGUUGUGAAAUCCCCGGGCUCAACCUGGGAAUUGCAUCUGUGACUGUAUAGCUAGAGUACGGUAGAGGGGGAUGGAAUUCCGCGUGUAGCAGUGAAAUGCGUAGAUAUGCGGAGGAACACCGAUGGCGAAGGCAAUCCCCUGGACCUGUACUGACGCUCAUGCACGAAAGCGUGGGGAGCAAACAGGAUUAGAUACCCUGGUAGUCCACGCCCUAAACGAUGUCAACUGGUUGUUGGGUGCAUUAGUACUCAGU